Molecule: long non-coding RNA, 282 nt
Filed under: Elaeis guineensis (African oil palm)
Lineage: Eukaryota; Viridiplantae; Streptophyta; Magnoliopsida; Arecales; Arecaceae
Description: long non-coding RNA (EGUI_LNC041948)
Source: RNAcentral
AAAAGAUAGAUUUUAGAUCUAAUAGAGAAGGGGUUCAAAUUGAAGAAAGAAAUCCUGCCGACAGGAUUUAUAAGACUGCUGCAACUAGAAAGGCUGUUCUUCUUCAACGUGUUUCAUCCCCUUUCAGGGAGUUUUCUUCAUUGAUCUCCUGGUGGGAGGUACUCCACACACCUAAAAACAUGGCAGAACAAGUGGUAUCAGAGCUUGUAUUAUGUGGAGAGAGAACGAGAUGCCAAAAAGUGAAGAUCUUUAAAGGCUGAAAUUUCAGCAAGAUCCCUACCA